CCACCUCUGCUGUCAUGGGCCAACAUAAUGAGAUAGGAGGCAUUACUUUCAGAGCAGCCCUCAUACAUUCAAAAAUCCAGCCAUACCUAUUUUAACCGUUUCUUUUCAAGUAUUAAGCAGCUACAUUCUUGCAUAUGAUGGAACUGAAUGGGACAAUGAAAUACAAACAAGAAGUCAGCUCUGGGCUUUUCACUUCUAAUAAUCAAAUUCAUAGGACAAUAGAGAAGCUUGUAUCAGGGAUACCACCUUCGUGAUUUUAAAAUGCUGUUGUAGAUUUUAUGUUAUGAAAAUUAAACAAAUGAGAAUGAAAUUUAAGAUAACACAUUAGAGUUUCCAUAUAAAUUUAAUAAUUACUUUUAUAAUCAGGUGAUUUCCCACUGAUACUAUCUAUAGUAUAAAUGAAUUAGCAUAAUGUGUGAUUUGCUGAGCUUGUCCAGAAACCACUUUUUAAACUGCAGAUUUUGACACACAUUUUUAAUCACAUCCCUAGCAGUUAAAACAUUAUCAAGUUUCAUGAUCAAGUUUCUACAUCUGAUAUGAAAGAAAUAGAGACACAUUUUAUCUUCUUGCACUACAUUUUUGCAACAUAUUUGAGUUUUAUCAUUAAAGUACAACUGAAGGCAUGCUUUUGUUUCCAACCAAUAUGCCCCCACUGAACAGUGGAGGAAUCCCACUAUUCCCUUGGGAGAUAACAUAGAACAGUGCUGCAGUGAUGGGACAAGAUGCAGGGAAGGUGGAGGGAUGAAAAAACACAGCAAUCUGAAUCUUCCCUACCAGGCCUGCACCAGGCAGCAUCCAUCUUAGUCAUAACAGCUCCUCAACCGCACUUCAUAAGCUAUUGCACAGCACACCUCUCACAAGAAUAGGCAUGUUUUCCAUGAUUGUCUCAUUUUACAUAACCAGAAUUUGUUCACUCUCACUGUCUCAAUAUAAUGAAUGAGAAAUCAAACGAGUCAUCAAGAUUCAUACCAUUACACUUUUUUAUAACCAGUUUUUCCAAGAAUCCCCAACGGCAUCAAGAAAGAUGCGGACUGUUUUUGAUUACCUGACCUUAAGAAGGAGCAAACAAGUCCAAGAAAUAUUAGCAUAAAAUUUCAGUAAUAGAUUUAUAAUGUAUUCAAGGAGGUGAACAAAGAUAAGGAAGCUCAAAACACAGUUAAUUCCUUCUGAAGCCUAUUAAGAAUUCUUUGGUAAAAAGGAAAAACCCUUUUUAAGGUAGACUAUAUUUGAUAUACUCAGAAGAGAAGAAAACUACACAAUACUUAAGGUUCAACUUUGUAGAUCAGCAAGGCUUAAGAGAAAACCAGUCCUACACUAGUAAUUCUCCAUAUUAAAAAUUUUAAAACAAGUAAUUUAUACCAGAGCUGUUUCCCAUCAAUUUUACUCUGAAGAUCUUGUAAGACAGCAUGCUCUCUUCAUCCAGGCCAACUACUUGCUGGCAGAAUGAUCAGCAGAAAUAAAAACCAGAAGUUCCAUAUAAAAAAUAUUUUAACUUCUCCAGUUUGCUUUCAGUGUGGCUUAGCUAAAAGCUAAUUUACAUACUAAAAGCCCUUCUUAAACCCUCAAAUUCAGAUAUUAACAUUUUCAGCUAGCAAAGUCACUUGCAUUAAUCUAUUUUUCUAAAUUAGGUGCCUAGAAUUUGCAGAUGAAGCUACAUUCUUUAAUAACAGAAACAGACUUUUCAGUUCUGAUUUACCUGCUAAAUCUCUUCCUGGAAAACUAGCCAGCAGAAGAUGCAUCGUAUGUACAGAUUUCUUGGCUGUACUGUAACACAUCACCAGGAGCUGUCACUUCAGCAUAAGGAACAUCAAAUUAUGCUAAGAGGAAAGCAGAACAGCCAGCAAAGAAUAAGACGAGUCAGCUUAAUCAAACUCACAAUCAUUACAUCUUUUUCAUUAUAGAGAGGAGAAAACAAAAUAAAGUCUUGAAGACAUAUUAGUGCAACAAAGACUGAAGUCACAAAAAUUACCAAACAUUGGAAUUACCUUCCAAGCAUCUAUAUUCAACAUAACCAUUGAGAUUUAUAUCUAGACAGCAAUGUAUAUUGCAUAGAGAACUGUGCACAUAAGAGGACUGUCAGAAACCAGCAGAUUUGAAAGAGCUCUUAAAUUCACCAGGGGAAUGAGAAUCAAAGAGGUAUAGAACUGCAGCCACAAAGGUUUGGAUUUAGUGUUGCUGCCUUCUACCAUUAGGAGAAACUCACUAACUUUUCUCUCAACUGGCAAAGGAAUAAGCAGUUUCUGUGGCUUUCCUCUGAAGAAACAGCUUUCAUAGCCAAGGCAUGGAGGACCUGAAUUCAAAUUCCAAGUGUACUGAUGAGAUUUUGAAACCAAAUCUACUCCAUAUCCACUACCUGGUAUGCCAGCGCAAGGAAUACUCUCAAAUAUUUCUCCAUAGGUUUCUGCACUUUGCAAAGAGCAAUCGAGUAUUCAGCUGGCAGCAAAGAGUAUGUCCAGCUACAGCACAGUAACAGCCACCAGCCUCUCUUGUCUUGGGCAUUUGCUCCAAUGCCAAGCAGCUUGCAGCAGGAGAAUUGCCAGGGCAGAGAGCUGCAGGUGCCUGCAACCAGCUGUGCAAGGAGUACUGAAGUGAGGCCAGCACCAAUCUGACCCAGGCACUGGGAAACUCAUUUGACAGAUGUUCUGGCAACCAGGCCUUUGGGCAACUCCCUGAUGAAAUAAAUUCUGAAUAAGGCUUUUGAGGACAGUUGUUUAAUUUAGGUAGUCUGGGCUAGCACUUAAGCUAGCUGGGCAUAUAUUUUAAGAAUAUAAUGCAGCUUGAUAAGGUUUCAUUAUGCUCAUUUUUUAAUGGUGGUUUUAAAUGACUACUGUAAAUAGCUUGCUUACUUAUAAGCGUGACUGGAAAACUUACUCUGUUCUUACACAAUCAUAUUUAUCCGAAUUUCUUUUAAAGAUCCAAAGAUCCUCUAGAAACCAGAAAUGCACUAAAGAGGCAUUCAUGGUUGUAGAGAUUUGUUGGCACACUUGCAUUACUUGUUCUGAGCUUCGUUUUUAGUAUCGCACCAUUUUAGUUUUCAGUGUGCCAACUCUGCAUAGAUAUCAUCUCUGUGGUAGAAGCAGGGUGCAGCUGAACGGCUUCAUAGAUAUUCUGCUGGUUGGUGGUGUGUUACAUGUGCAAAGCAGUUUGGUGUUGCUAUUUAGACUUGAUUGGCAGCAAAAUGCUUCUUGUUUAAAAUAGAAUUUCCAAAUUCACUAAACACAAGUCUUGGCAAGUGAAGAACUGAACGUCAAGUACCACGGUAUGUGAGCAUAAAGACAUCGCAUACAGUAUAAAAUACCAAAGGAAAUUAAAUAAGACCUUGAUACCAUUUCAGUCCAGUUCAACUCUUUAACCACGCAGGAUGGCGAGAUGUUUGUUACAUAACAGCAAAUUCAGACAGCUUUUUUUUUUUCUUUUAAAUCCUGCCAUCUUUACAGUGAAGAGCAGAGGAUUAGACAUCCACAGAUUCUGAGAGACAGAGAGAGGAGCCAGCAGCAAUAUUUAGCACAGAGUGAAUGAUUCCUGGCACCAUUUAGCUUCUCUGCAUCAGGAAUCUGGCAGCCUCUGUUCAAAGAUGCUGAUUGAAUAGUUAAUAUCAGUGUUAUACAUAGACUCAAAACGAGCACAAAAAAUGAAUGAGAACAACUAGGAUGUAAGCCCCAAACUUACUUCCAUCUCUAUAUAAAAUACAUAUAUAUGUAUAUAUAUACAGAAAAUGGUGGGAGCAGGGUUUAAAUACUGGGCAGAAUGCCAAAGCAAAAAGAAUGCAGACAAAGGGCAUAGUUCAUCUUCUGACUACACAUCUGUGAAAAUACCUUUAUAAAGUAUAUAUCAAACUUUUUUAGGCACAAGAAAGCCAUAAUGCAAUAUAAAUUGUUAGUUCUUAAUUUUCACAAGACAGCAUAAUCUGCAAGGUACAGAAUGUUUUUUAAUCAGUAGAAUUAUCCCUAUUUUCUCUCAGAAUUAUAAAGCUCUAGCAAGUCUUUAUAACCAUACAGAUAGCACAUUUAGUCUUUCACUAUACUUAGGAAUUUCAAACUACAGAAACCACAACUAAUCACCCACCAAGUCUGUGUGGAAAUUUGCUGAUCAUUUGAGAAAAGCAGCCUUGUUUUACCGCCAAAUGUCAAAAUGGAACUAAGUGGUGAGAUGCACACACUGAAUACUCUUGCACUCUAAAGUUUGGCAGAAAUAUAUUUAUGCACACACAAGGACAUGGUUACAGACUUGCACUUUGAGAAACCAUGCAAGAAGACAAACUAAAUUGGUUGACAUCCUUAAAGGGAAGAGGCUUGUAAAAAAAAUAAAUACACCAUACUGGACCACAUCAAAUGGUCCAUCAGAAGCACACUUCUCGCAACUGAGAUUUUUUAGUCCAUGCAGUGAAAUUCUUCCCAUUUGUCUGUCAUAACCAAGCACCUGAAAUGCACUUUUAGAGCUAAUCCUGCAGCAUAGGCCCAACCUAGGUGAGAUUUCUCAGACCACAGAUGUGCCCAAUCAAACCCACUUUCUCAUUUACUUCAUCUUUUCAAUCAUGUGUACACACAACUACAGAAAAUUAGUUACCCAAAAAUAAUACAAACAAGUUUCCUAAUGGAACAAACGGAACGAAACUGUAAUGGUUGUUCCUAUGUUACUUGAGGUGGAUUAUUUCUCUGCUUAUCCCCCAAGAUAUUGGCAUGGCAUACUCAGUCUGUACUGACUCAUUUUCUGCUGUUGCUUCCUUCAUUCAUGAUCAGCUUUCACAUUUUGUGAUUUCAUCCAGUAACUGAAGUUUGAAUGCUAGGGAGGCAUAGCUGCCCACAUAGCUAUGUGUUUUAACUCUGUUUCAAGGUUUUCCUUUGUCAUAUUUGCUAGAUAUUUAAUUCUUUCUAGACUACUUAGUCUCCACCUCUUUUGAUUAUACAAGGCUAUGAAGGACAAUAUAUUUUCACUGCACAGGGACAGUGAUGCCACAGAGUGUGUGUGACAUGAAUGAGAGAACCCAAAGGGAAAUGAGGUUCAAGAUCCCAAUCUGAACAGCAAGCAGAAGUCAAAAUCCGAGUUUGAAACUGUUCAAGACAGCAAAUGUUAGUGAAAGUGCUUUCUCUAACCCUUCUCUCUCUUUUCUUUCCCCCCCUAGCAAGCUCUCAUACAAGUAUCCUGAAGCAAAGCAGCUUGCAUGUGUGCAAACACACACAAGCUCUUGGCCUCCUAUGUUUCUGUUUUAGGGGCAGCUUGUCCAGCUUGAAGCCAUUUGCUCUGUAACUUCUCAAAAAGAAGUCGCUGUCAUGCAUUUGACUGAGGAUGUGAUGGCAUUGCUCAUGUCCUCUUUUUAGAGGGCAGCUCUGUUGUUUUACUCCACAUAAGCUUAGUAUCCUUGAUAAGCACACAUGCAGGCUUUCCCCCCCAAAAAAUACUCAGCCAUGGCCUUCCUGUUUCUGCUGUUACCACAUGCCAAUAAAAUCCAAAUCUCAUCUAGUGAGGAGGAAAAAAAAAAAGAAAAACACACACCCAACAAGAAAUGGAUUCAUAUAAAUAUUAUCAGAAGACUCUUACACUAUGUAGGCAAUCUAAUAUAAUUGUAAACACCUUACUAAGAUUCUGUUCCUAACUCUCAGAUACACCAUUUAAGAUACAUGUUGGAGAGUAAGCACUGGAAGGAAGGCAAAGAACAGGAGAGGGAAAAAGCAAAGCUAUUAUAGGAAUGUGGUAAUGCUAUGCUACCCUUUUUUUUUUUCUUUAAUUCAGCAGGAGUUUGUCAUUACUGCAAUAGCACAGUGACUCCUUUUACACUGAAUAAUUUCCAGCAUUUCUGUAUAAUUACAUCUCAGGUACACUAAAGAUGUAUACUGAAAACAAUUUUCUAAUCUUGCAAGCAUAGGCAUAUAGAAGAGCAAGAAAGGCAAGAAAGGCCACUAAGCUUCAACUUGCCUUGGCCCUUACAUUUCUGAAGGAUACUUCCCCCUCUCCAAAUAUCUGAGAAAUUCACUGCCUCUGCACAGAGGAAGGAAAACACUGAAAGAACAGGACUAACUUGUACAAGCACAAUAAUUUCAGUUUCUAUUUUAUGUUUUACAAAUUUUUGUGUAUAUAUGUUUUUCUCAAAUAGUUUGAAUGAAAUGCAAGCUCCAGAGGGAAAAAAAUAUGAUCAAGUUAGCUUAUUUAUUCUCUUGUUGAAGUGUUUUCAUACAUUUGGGAAGAAAAUAGAUCUCAGAAGACAUUUUUCCUAAAUUUCCUUGCAGUUUUUGCCCCCAAAGUGUGGCAAAUCACUAAGUGUUUUAACUACUGCUAGUUCUCAUUCGUUCCUUCAUUAUAUCUUACAUUAGUGAUGCUAUGAACAGCAAACACGUGACAAUAAUACUCAACUCUUAUGUAAGAUACAGCCUAGACCUUCAUAUGGCAGUUAAGCAUGAUCCACAUUUCACAAGAUAAAUGAGAUCCAGUGACAUGAACAGACUGGUUAUAUGCUUUCUUUGGUCAUAUUAUAUUCUUUCUUCCAUCCCAUUCAGUAAUUCAUUUCUUGUAUCCUCUCUUACAUAGCCUUAAGGGAUGGUGUGUGGAACCUUAAACCAGUUUCAAUCAAUGGGAUGAGGUCAGCCUUGAGAUUCGUGUGACAGGCAAGAUUAAAAUGUGCUUGCCCCAAGUCUAAGCUGUCUGAAUAAGGCACCAUGUUACGCUGCAUGCUUGUUGCCAGGUUGAAUUGAAAACAAAAGUUAUAUUAAAAGACAGCCAGAUCAUUCUUUCUCCUUUCUGCCCCCUCCUCAAGUGCCUAAGGUCAUUUUCCCUAACAAAAAUGAAAGUCCUUUUUGGAAGUGUUUUUGUGCUAAACAACAGUGGUUAAUUUCUUGCAACUAAUUAGUUAUUCAAGUGAAAGUAUAAUGAUCCUCCAACAUGAUUGAAAGUGCUUCAACCGAGUUUCCUGCUAACAGCAUACUUCUAGAGAAGACGCAAUAAAUCAGCAGGGUUAUGGAAAUCUUUAAAACAAAGCAUGUCUACAACAGGAACCCAUUAAAGAUGUAGCCAUGUAAUAUUUAUGUACCUAGCUGACUUGUGCUUUUAACCUAGCACUUUCAGCCAUAGCUUUUAGCACCUGGGUCAUUCACUAAGAAUGAAAUUCACUGUAUCUGCUAAAAGCCAGCAUAAUGACUCUGCAUUAGGUGUUCAGACAGAGUUUACAUAGGAUUUAAGCAAUGGAGCCCUCCCACUGAAUGGAAUCUCAUCCUGAGUUUUCCCAUAGAAAAAUACAAAUAGAACACCUUUACACUGCAUAGUAAUUUCAAUGAAACUCCCCAGAUGCCAUUAGAAGGAUUUCAGAAAUACCAUGAGGUAAAGAUGUUAAGAACAAAAAAAAAACAAAACAGAACAAACAAAACAAAGAGAUCAUUAACAACAGAAACCCCCACACUCUUUCAGAACAGCCAGCAUCACCUAUGGUUGUAUAGAUAAUGGUUUUGUUAUUGUUAGUGGUUACAGAGGCUGAUCUCUAAACCUAGUGCUCUCAGUAAAGGCACUGCCUGCGUUGGAAUCUUUUUUGACAUACUACUGACCAGUAUAGUCCAGCUAUUUAAAUAUACUCAGAACAGGAAAAGAGCAAGACUCAGUUUUGUGGAAAUACAUUUUUAUUAUGUUUGGGCCUUUUGGAUGUUACAGAUGUAUAAAUCUGAUAGCCUUAGAUCUCCAAAAGAAAGAGAAAUCCUCUUUUCUCCCAUCACAUUCUACAGCUUGUGUUGUGUGUUUACAUGAAUUUUUAAAGCACACAGAAGAACAUGUGAAGCAAAGGGAAUGUUUUAAUAAUCCCCACAUCCUUUAGCUAUACAUAUUUUCCUUCAUCCGAUUCUGUCAUUUACUUUAUUGCCAGGCUUCUAGUCCAUCUCCCACAGUUUUAAUAGACAGAAUUUUGAUUCAUGAAUCAGUUUCAGUCAAGUUCCCAGAACUUGGCUUUUUUUCUCCGCCUCCUCCUGGCUUAGUCUUUCUUCCUGCAGCAGAUAACUACAAAGAGGGAAACCUCACUGCUGUGGGGCUGGAAGGAGGAAACUACAGGAAAGUGUGUAGAAACUGCAUUUCCUGGGAGUCUAGGAAAGGGGAGAAAUUAGCACAAAAAAAGGGCCUGAAGGACAGAGAAGAGAUUAAACAUCGCUUUCCCUUCCUAAUAAAAUCAUCUUUGCUCUCACCAUAGGUUUUUGGGCCAAUGACCACUUUCAACUUGCACUUUCUGUUGGAAAAAUAAGAGUCCAGUUUAAUUUUGUCAAUAGAAAGUUUAAAGCGGUCAUUGGAGCACAAAGUGAUUUUCAAAAGGCAGCUGAACUGAACAGGGACAAGGAUGAGGAUGCUGGGACAGCCACAAAAGUACAGGCAAAUUAAAAAUACUGCAAGUGUACCAAUUUUCAACAAAAUAGAUAAAGCUUUUAUAAGAGUUCCUGCAAUUCUGUAAUUUUUGUUGUGGGCUUUGUUUAUACUUAAAAACACAAUUGCCAGAGCAGAAAACAAGUGUUUUAUGUGUUGGUCUUUAUAUAUAGGAAAACAACAGUCAAUGAACUAGGCAUUAACUUCAUGAACAUGUAGGAUUACUCUUCACCCAUGCUGUAAAUCAUUGGAUCUAGUACAAGUAAUUGUACUGCAAUGGUUUUUGCUACGCUAAGCAUUUCAGCUGUGUGCCCAGUCCUUCCAAGUCUGAGCUUAUGCUGUAUUCAGAGCUUUGUGGGGUUUAGUCAAUAGCAUGUUUGAUUUGAAUGGUUUUUCCUAGAUAACAGUAACACAAAUCCAUAACUUGUGUAACAAAAACCCAAAGCUUGUUUAGAUCACUUAACAUGCCUAAAAGCCUAAGCUCAAGACUGUAAAAAAUAAUAAUAAAAGUAGAAAAAGCACUUCUUUAGAAAGGGUCUCUGCUGUUGCACUACCAGAAGGCAAAAAGCAUAUUAUGCUAUGAGCCAGAAACUGUUGUGCUGUUCUAAACUGCAGCAAUGACUUGCAUAAAAAGACUUCAAGGCAUUUCCUCUUCUCCCUGAAGAUAGCCACGAGUCUUUCUACUGCCCCAGGAUGCACGCUGAAGUGACUGCAAGACAGGCGUAUCUUUUGCAUCCUAAACAACAGCCUUUAUUUAUCAAAGCACACAGAACAUGCAAUGGACAGUCAAAACAAAGCAAAACCAGCGAUUCCAAGUAUCCUAAGGAAACUUUGUUCCAAACUGAGCAGUAUGUCCCUCUCAUAGAUGGAUGUUACGUUGCCUGUUUAGCAAAUGCCCCUCUAUUUUCUUAAGUUCAUGCCUUAAGAAUUUUAUUUCACCAGCAUUUAUACACAGACGCCCACGAAGUUUUCAACAUAGCCUUGAAUUUGUGGUUUAACCUUUGUGAAGCAUGCUGGUAUUUUCAAGGAUGAAUUUGAAGCACAACCUCAUUUUAAGGUAUAUGUGGAAAAUACCAAGUUUGUCAGCAAUAAAUACCUUGGCAUAUAGAAAUUUUGCAAAGGAAAAAACCCACAAAAAUCCCAAAACAUAAUUACAGCAAAGCAGAUACUGUCAUCAGGCAGCGAUUUGCCAUCCUUACAUUUGCAGAAUAACAAUUCUAACUGAAUAUCUUCUGCCUUUUGCUAGUACCGUGUGAUAAACACAGCAUUUGAACGCAUGUGUACACGUAUAUAUUUUCCAUAUCUACAUGCUACGUAAGAAGUUCCUGAUAUUUAAACAAAGCAGAGACACAGAACCUAAAAAGGUGCCUCUCUUGCAGUGAGGACACAAUUCCUGCUCUAAGGGCCUGGGGCAGUUUGCCUCAAAUGCUAAUAGCUCAAGUUGUGUGCAAUAGCCCUAUACUGUUUAUAUAGCACUUCACAUGUUCAAAGCACUAUGAGAUAUCAGCCAUCACUACACUUUUAUGAGGCUCUAAGUAUUACCCACUAAAUGUUAAGGUUCAAAUGACUUGUUCUUGAUCAAAAGAAACUUUGUGCAGCAGGACCAUAAUUAUUUGAAUUCGGUAAUUCUGACAGUCCAUUCCUAUAGUGACUCAAAAAAAAAAAAAAAGGGGGAUGGGAUAUUUAAAGCCAGUUGCAACUGCACUUUGUUCUGGCUGUGUUAAGUACAGGCAUAAGGAGAAUCCCAAAGCUAACUCUCACAAAAGCAGCACCUGCCUCCAAAGAAAAUGAAAACUGAUGAAUUUUUUCUAUUUUAAAAGCACAAAAACUGUUUUUAAAGCCUCAGUCAUGUUUUUCUGAGUAUAUGUAUGUCAUAAUCACUGUGAAGAACCUAAAAGGUAAUACUGUACAGAAAUAGACUAGAAAACUUAAGAUGUAAAUCACAUCAUCUGCACUGAAGCAGGUUUUCCUUUUUUGCUGUUGCUGUUUUGAUAAAGGUUGGGGUUUGAUUUUUUCCUCCUCCUUUAGAAAUCAGGAGGAGAAGCAGGCAAAGACCAAGGCAACUUGCAAUAGGACUUAAAUCAAUACUUUUAGUAAUACAAACUAUUUUCCUGCUUUUAGACAGAAUUUCAUCCUAUGAAAACCCAGUUGCCAUUGCCAAUACUUAUUAACUCAGGAUCAAAAUAUCAACUCUCCCUUCCCAUAAAGGAAACACAAUGAAGCAGACAGUGAAAAGCAGCCAAUCAGUUUUGCUACCUACAUCUAAAUCCUUCCUUGAAAUAAGGAAUGUUGUGCUCAGGGACAUGGUUUAGCAGAGGGUUGUUAGAGUUCAGGUAGUAUGGUUAGGUUGCUGUUGGACCUGAUAGUCUUUAAGGUCUUUCCCAACCUGAGCAAUUCUAGGAUUCUGGGAUUCUAAUCAAGGCUGAAUGGAAUUAAUUCUGAAAAUUUUUGUACUUAUAUAUAAAUAUUGAGAUUUCAAAAUGAGAAAAUGAAAACUAUUUUAAAUUCACAGCCAGCACACAUCCUAUCAUACACAAUUUUCAUUCCCACAUCUUACAUUUUAACUUGCACAUAGCCUUUUGUUUCCAUAUAUACUGCAUUUUUUCAGAACACAGCUUUGCAAUUACUGCCUUUCAAAUCUUGUCUUCAGGAUCACAUGCAAAAUAUUUAGUACUGAGACAAAAAUGUAGGCCUCUACACACAACAAAGAUUCAACAAAUAAGGGAAGGGCUCCUGUUUAAACAGGGGAGGGUAAGAAAUUCCCUUCAAAAGCAGUACAUAGUACAGAGUUUUACUAACAGAACCUCUUGUGUUUUAGCCAAGUUGAUCUGCUGUUCGUAAUAUUUACUCCAUCUCUCCUACAACUUUUAUUAGACAUUGUUGGGUACAGGCCACUCAGAACUCUAUGCCAGGCUGUUUGCUAUAUCAAAAAAUCCAAAGUUACAUUACUGAGAUAUUUUCUAAAAUAUUAAAAUUUAAGCACAAUGUCGGUAGAUGAGUGUUGCUUCAUGGAUAUUAAUGUAAAAAGCAGUUACAAAUCUCCAUCUAUUGAUCUAAAGAACAGAUGUUUGCAUAUGAUUUAUGAACAUAGAAAUAUGUGCGUAUCUUCCAUAAAUAGUAACAUAUCCCAGUAACAAAAAAAAAAGUGGAGAACUGUUGUCCAAAAGAACUGGAAAAUGGCAUGCAGUAUUAGAAUAUAUUCACCAAUUGCUUUAUAUCUAAAGCCAAGAAAAGUUAACAGGUCCAGCACAGCAAUCCUCCAUGUUGGAAAAACACCAUUUCAAACAAGACUAACAUGAAGGAAUACUCACUCAAAUUGCAAACUCUGGUUCAAUUGCUCAGAUGUAAAAGUACAUUUAGAACAUGAGAAUGCAACUGUGAUCUAAUAAAUAAAAAUAGCAAUUAAUUUUCAUUGAGUUAUAAUUUUUUGCUGUAAGCAAAAGCCAACAAAACUCACAUUGCAUUGAGUAUCUUCACAUUAAAUUUUGAUUUUGAGGGGUUUUUAAAAUCAAAAUUUAAUGAAACAGUAAUCAGGUAAAAUUUUGGUGAGUAAAGCAUUCUUUCAAACACUAAAUACAUUAUCUUUGGAAGUACAGUUGAGUAUUUGACCAAAUAUUAUGACUGCUCCUCACAUUUGCUCUGUAGCUAAACUAGCCUGGCUAAUGAGCAUCCCACCUCAAACUGUCCCAUAAACAUGAGAUUACUUGACAGGUUUUACCUUAAAAGCAGAGUCCAUUUUUUGAGAACAGACUUGUAAGAAACCUAGUUAAAGGCUACAAGCACGUGAGUUUGCAGACUUGGAUAUGUACUGGUUUCUGGGCCAGCAGAACUACAAGAGAACCCAAGAAACUGCACAUUACACAGUGAUGUGUAUGCAUGUCACAGAAGUUUUGGGUUGGUUUAAGAAUAGACAUGGUAUUACUUUUUCACCUCCAAAAAGCAUUUCCUGUGUGCCAUGCUAUUUUUCUCUCCUGGAAAAUUAGUCAAGAACAUGGCUAAUUCUGCAUAACUUUAGAUUUCUCCAUACCAUUAUGUACAAUUGCAGUAUUCUCUCCUGACUGAGUGGCAAGCACGAGUACUUUGAAGUAUUAUACAGCUGCUACUCUCCUCCAGAAGCGGUGAUACUCCAGUAAAUACUCCCCAAAACAUCUUUUUCCAGCAGAGGUUUACAAAAACGUUACCACGUUUCCAUAGGUUGACACAAUACAAAAACAUCUGAUCAUCUAGUUGAAAAACGCUGGCCUUUAGCAUUACUGCAGAAAUAAUUAGGAGCCAUACUUCAACCAACUGCAGAAACAACUCCAGUUAGUUUUUGUAUAAUACAAUUAGAGUCUUAUAUUACAGGAAAGGUUAUUGGGUUCUCUUCUUGCAAUUUUUAAGAUCAAAGAAGAAAUGAACACUUUUCAUUUUGUCAGGUAAAGACCUUCCUUUUGAUGGCUGUACAGAGUCUUUAUUUCCAGCGUAUAACUCAGACAUCCACGAAUAAAUUGAAUCUCUAAUAACAACAGUCAGCUGGAUUUAAUUCCUCCUCUUGAUGGAAGCACAGCACUGUCAAUACACAGUGAGAUUUAGUAUUGCUGUUAAUUUACUGCAGGUAAAAUGUAGAUACAACAUGAAGAUCUAGCAUCUAAAAACAGCGUAAGAUAAACAGGAAAAAUAAAAAAGGAAAAGAUGAUAAAAAUUGAUGAGUGAUCAUUCUACUUCAUUUUUUUUUUCCAGAGGAGCAUCCAGGUGCCAGCUGGUGGAAAGGCAGAUGCCACUGAUUUCAGUGAACUUGCACCAGUUUACAAUAACUGAGAGUCUGAUCCCACAUGCAUUAGAGUUAUUUUUAGGCACUUGCAUUGGAACUCACUUCAGUGACAAUUAAAAAUACAUCCACACAUCACAUUACAUCCUGUUCCCAAGUGUAUGACUGGAAGCCUGUUGACAGGCUGUGGGAGAGGGCAAGUAGAAGUAGCCAAGAACUAUAUCCAUGAGAUAACUUUGUAAGAUAUUAACCCUGAAUUUCAGUUGUCUUUUCUUUUUUACUGUGACUCUUUGACUACAGAAAAAAUCCCAGCUCUUCACCUUCCAGUAGUAAUUCAAUGCUUGCAAAGGAAAAAAUAAAACUAACCACCACGCUGUAAGACCACGUAGAGCAUCUAAGUUAAAAAAAAAAAAAAAAAGACUGGUCUCAUCAUCUAGAAUUGUAAGCAAACCCCCAUACUGAGAUCUGUUUGUUCAACUAAGCACUUGUUCCAAGGGACUGCACUGCUGGACAAGCAGUAAAACUGUUAAAAAUACUGAAACAGCUGUUGGAAGCUCUAUUUCAGCAAGCAGUCAAUGUGAGGGAGGGAGAAACAAGAAAGGAAGAGGUGGAGCAAUAAUCAAGGCAGAGCAGUACUUCAUAACUCCAGCCAUCUUAGUAGGUAGAGAGAGCUAAAUAGUAAAUUGAUUUACAUAGAGCAGCUGUUAAGCAUGAAGAUAUUGCAUUAAAAAAAUCUUGUUACCAUUAUUAACUGCUACAAUGAAUAUUUGUCUUUUGAUUCAAGAUAGCAAGGUCAAAAUGGAAAAGCUAACUAAUUAAAAAUGAAGAUGUAGCUCACGUACCAACUGAAGUAAUUGUUUGUUUGUACAGCACGACACCCAUAUCUCCAAUUUAGGUCAGGCUAUCAAGAAGAGGAAAAGGGACUGAAGAUGAGAUGCUCUACUUCACACAGUUGCCCUCUGGAAGGGCUGGCAAAGGCAGUCACUUAAAUUAAGUACAGGUCAUCAGACAGGAUAUCUAAUCUAUUCCUAAAACAGGCAGCUCUCGCAGUCCAAAUCCCUAUGGCCUUUGCAGCAACACAACGAACUACUUCCUCAUGUACCUCUGUCAAUUCAUGUUAGGUUCCUAUUUUUUUUAAAGCGAUAUUUCAUGUACACCAUGACCCUAUUGCUCACAGCAAGGAAAGCGCUUUGGUUUAUUUAUGACCUACUAACCUUAAAUAAAAAAACCAUACAUCCAAUCUGAAUGUUCACAUAAGCCUGCAGAUCUGAAAUAAAACUUAAAAUAAAGCUGGCAUUUGUAAUAGCUAGCUAAGCCCAGUAAGGGAUUUAGAAAAAAAAAUUAAAAUUAAAACCAGAUGAGAGAAGAUGAAAGCAUUUUUACCCUGCAUAACCUGCACACAUCAUGAAUGAUGGCUGGAGCUCAGGAAUAUUUUUUUGUGUUUUUGUACUUACAAGUUUCAGCCCACUUCAACAGUGGCUAGGUAACCAAAGAAAUACUGAGGUUUUCCCAUUACAGGGUUGGGAGGGAAUAAUAACAACCCAUGAAAGCAAUUCCUUUUAAGAUGCAAUCCAUCCAGCCACGAGCUCUACACAGCUCCUCUCUUUUCCUUACACCCCAUCCUAACUGCCAGGUAUCAGUCUGGCCAGACCUCAUAUUGAAAUAUGAUGUGACAGAGGGAAGCAAGGAACAAGACCAUAGGAAUAAAUACUGAAAGAAAUGGCAUAAAGAAAGAAAGCUUAUAGCAGGGAAUAUGUGAAACACAAGUGACCCUAUAUAUAUUUUGCUAGAACAACAUUGAACAGAUGCAGGUGUACAACAGACUAUUCAGUUGAAGAGUUUAUAAAGAACUGUCAUAAAGAACUCCCUUCCUCUCUACAUCCAUGGGGUUGAAUUGUGAUAGGGACAGUACAAAUAAAUAAUAAAAAAAUCAAGCUUCAGACCUAAAAUAUCAACAGCAAACAUCUUCUGCUGAUUCAGCACCAAAAAAAGGGAGGAAAGGGCAUCUAUGCCACAGUUGGUUGGAACUAGAACUCACAGAUACUCAUGAUCACAGUGGAAUUCCUAAAUAAAAAAACCUGCAGAAAAGAGAAAUUCUUUACAUUCUGUUCUUCUGUAGUUCUCCAGCAGGAUAUAUUAAUGCCUCUGCUCUUUAGAUACUUUAGAUGUAUUUGAUAAAAAUACAGUUAUCUGUACAAGAAGAGCAAUUUGUUGAAAGAAACAGAUGCAACCAAGUUCUUGUCACAGCAUUUGUUUAAAAAAGAAAAUAUACUCAGGCAGCAUAUUUAUGACCUAAAGUCUUUUGGUGCUACCUCUCUACAAGACCAUUUUAUAAAAAUUUUUGUUUAAGUGCAGAAAGCAAUGAGAGAGUACCAGACCAGCUUGUCCUCUGGUAAAAAAUUUAACAAGUAGCAGCCCCUAAAAGCCAGUGAAUCACUCACAGUUUCACUGCAGUAAUCUAAGAGCAGCCCUAACUAAAAGAACUCAGACCAACAAAGCUGCAAGAGAACAAUCUUCUGCAGGAGAACUGCUAACAACCACGAGUAAGAAAGACAUCUGGGAAGCUGCCAGCUCCGUGCACGAAGAAGGAAAUGGGAAAGACAGAGAAGGGUGCUGGUAUUGACAUUUAAGGAUGCUGUGAAGUCAAUGGAGUUCUCUUGUAGUGGUUGCUUCAGUGAACAUUCAACGCUGUCGGCCUUCACACCGAAGAUAGAAACCUAACCAGCACAUGAGGUUUCUCCCCUACUCUGCCAUGCUUUACAAAAAAGGUCACAAUCAACAUUCAUUGCUGUCGGUGGGUUUAACUAUGUGGACAAGCUCACUGAACAAUGAAUGCAACUGUGGCCCCACAUUUUACAGGUGCAAUUGGGAGGAAUAUCAGCUCUGAAGGGAAUAGUGAGAAGCAGACAUUUCUUAUAGGUUACAUAUUUCCAGUCAAAAAAUAGAUGAGGAUAUUCUACUUUCACUUGUUUAUUCUUACGUGUAUUUAACUAUGUUGACAAAAAAACCAACACUGCAUGUUUCUGGAAUAUCACCCCCACAGGGUUCGGCAUCAUCGAAACCAAACUCAUUCUUGUCAAGUAUGCAUGUGGAAAUAAGUAAUAAUAUAGAGAAUUGUAUAUAUGUAUUCCUCAGAAUUGAGCCUAAGAGGAAAGGGUAUUUAAAUCUUAUCUUAACUAGGUAUUAUAGAAGAGACUUCUGUAAACUAUUCCAUAAUUGUCAAGACAAAAACAGGAACAGGAGCCAGAAUUCAGAAGCAUGGACAAAAUAGAUCAAAUAAAGAAUUCAGUAGUUUUACAUGACAGUGAUCUUAUGCACCUAAAUAAAUGGUAUCAGACAGUAAGCAUUUCUACAUUUGCCUUUUCUAAUGGUCCGAUUACAGAAAUAGAUGUAUACCUGGUAAUUAACAAACACUAGUUAAAUUGUAAAAUUACUCUAAACUUUGGGUACUUGUGUCACACUCAGUAUUGCUAUCACUAAUGAAAAAAUAAAAGUAUAAUUAAAGCUCACUGCUCUGUCCUUAUUUCCUUACAACCUUUGUUUAAUUUAAUUGGAAAAGUAGAGCCCAGUCUACAUUUCUACCUUUCAGAAGUCAUCCAAGGUAAGUGCAAGCCUUCACACAGCACCAUUUACCAUUUCGAUAGAUAGAAUUGUUUCUAACAUUUAGGCAAUCACACAACGUUCCUAUUUUCUUCUUAAAAAAGCUGCGGUCUAUUAACAAUACUUCAGUUUGGUUAUUUACACAUUAACUUCAGCACUGCAGUUAUGCAGUUCUCUAGCUCACUGUCCUUGCUUGUCAUAUGCAGUUUUCACCAUGCAGCACUGGAAUAGAAUACAACCAUCAGGGCUA
Molecule: long non-coding RNA, 16922 nt
Organism: Phasianus colchicus (ring-necked pheasant)
Lineage: Eukaryota; Metazoa; Chordata; Aves; Galliformes; Phasianidae
Source: RefSeq, a predicted model, not a curated record